RNAcentral lists this microRNA precursor (92 nucleotides) under Canis lupus familiaris (dog). RNAcentral's name for it is "mir-8799 microRNA precursor family". It matches the Rfam family "mir-8799 microRNA precursor family". The record is from Rfam by way of RNAcentral. Lineage: Eukaryota; Metazoa; Chordata; Mammalia; Carnivora; Canidae. RNAcentral also lists the same sequence under 1 other name.
GGGGGGAGCGCCGGAUCUUGGGCUGUGUCCCCGGAGCCCUCUGCUCCCAGGUCUUCGCUGUUGGAAUCGCGCUCCUGGCCGCGCAGCUCCCU